RNAcentral lists this long non-coding RNA (2283 nucleotides) under Stylophora pistillata. RNAcentral's name for it is "uncharacterized LOC111345626". Lineage: Eukaryota; Metazoa; Cnidaria; Anthozoa; Scleractinia; Pocilloporidae. The record is from RNAcentral.
CGCAGCUAAGUCGCAAGAGAGUAGCAGCUAAGUCGCAAGUGAAAAAAAAGAGAGAGGAAAGUGUGCCCCUUUGAAGCCACCGUACAUUUGGCGCCCCAUAGUACACAUUGCCCUUCGUGUAGUGGACUGGAAAUGACAGAUGCUAUCAACAUGGCUGCCAGUGAAACUGAAGAAAUCGACGUAGCGAAGGAGUUUAAUCUUCUCCCGAUAAUAUUCGAAACUAUUUAGGCGCUGCAGAAGACAAACGAUCCCCAGGAGUUUACAAAGAAGGAUAAUGGUUUCCGUGCGAAGUUGCAACAUUGCAGAGCGUUGUUAGACAAGAUACCAGGGAUAGAAAUGAGCUGUGAAGAACAGAAGGGACUAUUAAUUAAGUGUAAAACCCAGUACACUGAAAAAUGUGAGCUGCUGAAAAAUUACAGAAACCUACCAGUGUUUGCAGAAGCUUUUGUCAAGGAGACAAAAUAGUUGAAAUCUGUGAUGUCAACAACACCAGUUGGAAGAUGCAGAGGUAAAAAACAAAACUGAGGAUGCUGAUGUGCUGUUGGGAAAAGCUUCAUUCCCUUGGAAUGAGAGAAAAUUCUUCCUACUUCUAGAGUUGAAAGUGGGAGUACUCAAUCAUUCUCUUUGUUAUAACGAGGGAGGGUGUUUGCUGCACAAACUCUGAUUAAUCCUAGUGUUUACCAAACAACCCCUUUUUCAGUCUGCAUAGUCAACCUCUUUGUUGCAGACUUUCCAUUUUCAGAAAUACUUAAGCUGAUGCAGUGCAGAAAUACAUAUGCAGAAAUAUUUAAGCUUAUGCAGUGCGACAAGUGGGUCUGAAAGAGAGGCCUUUUUAGAAAUCAGUUUGAAAUAAUUCACAGUAGAGCUAAUUGUCAAAAAGUAAUUCUUAACUCUGAUCAAUUUCCUUGCGAGUUCUAUCCCUAUUUUAGGGUGUAAAUAAUAACCAAAUGUUCCUAUUCAUUAUUUUUAUUCACUCGAAAGAAAACAUUAUGUGAGUUGAAAUUAAUAACACUGUUGUGUUAACUGGGGAAGCAGUAAAUACACAGACAAACCAAGUAUAAAGAAAAUCCUCUUUUCAAAAGAGGAUGUAUCACUAACCAUCUCUAUCAAUCAGAUGUAGGUAUUGGUUACGCAUUGCCAUUCUGAAAGCUCCAUAAAGACAUAUCUGUGUGCUUCCAUUAACAUUUUGAGCAUGUUAUGCAUUUCACAAGAUUUAUUAACAAAAUUAGCAGAAGGAACAAGUGAUCAAGUUUUGGUUACUAAUAAAAUACCUUUUUAAUUUUGCUCUUUUUUUUUUUUUGUCAUCUAUUCCUUUGCUCUUCCUGUAAGGUUUUAUCAAAAUGUGAUCUGUUCAUGUGAUGACAUCUGGGAAAUAAUUAGAUUCUACACUUUUUAAGUAUACACUGAGAACAACUGAAAUUAGAUGUUUAACUUAUUUAUGACUGAGACUUAUUUAUAUCUACUUAGAUACUUUGACAGUGUUUUCUCUGGAUUUAGGUUUUGCAUCACAUAUUCUAAACUAGCUUAGCAGUGGUUCUCUGUGGCAUAUCUGGAGAUGAUAGAAACACAUAUUUUUACAGUUGUUGUACCAUCAAACAAUGAAGACCUCUCUUUUCAGUGGGAGUUUCAGCAGAGGAGCCCUAACUGUGCAAAUCCAAUGUGCACUUGGUUGAGAAACAGAGAUGCCUUGCUUGCCUCCCCUAUACAUUUGAGUGCUAUACUCUAACUAUUUGUGGAGAUUUUACCUACACUACAUCCCUAAAGGGCAAGCUUUAAUCUAUCUUGGGGAAGCUAUGUUUAUGUUUGUUUACAGGGUCAUUUUAUCACAAGGAAAAUAGAUUGUUUUGAAGCUGUGUUACUUUUGCAAAUAAGCUCGGAAUAUUGAGGGGUGGUAUUAGUUUAUCUAAAGUUGCUCAGGGAUUUGCCACAGACAACAUGAGAUGAGGCUUUCAGUGAAUACCCAACCACAAGUUGCACUUUCAAAAGGUGGCUUAAAAAGUUAAAUCUUCACAACUGUUGAACUGAGUUUUUCCUGUAAUUUUCUCUUUGGAUAACAUUCCAGAGUGUAUAGACUAUGGUUAUGGUUUUAAAGUGAAAGAUGUACCAACCUGCUGUGAUUUUUAACAUGGUGCACUGUAGAAAAAUUCUUACUCUGAAUUAAUGUUGGGUUUUAAGUAUUGUGUGCUCAGAACCACUUUGUUCUUCUCGUGGGUUCCAAAUGGUGUUAAUUAACACUUGACCAUAUGCUGUUUAACUCCAAAUAAACCACAUCAUGCUCUUUGA